CUCGUAGGCGGUUAGGUAAGUCGAAUGUUAAAGACCCCGGCUCAACUGGGGGGAUGCGUUCGAUACUGCUUAACUAGAGGACGGGAGAGGUAAGUGGAAUUCCUGGUGUAGCGGUGAAAUGCAUAGAUAUCAGGAAGAACACCAGUGGCGAAGGCGGCUUACUGGACCGUUCCUGACGCUGAGGAGCGAAAGCCAGGGGAGCGAACG
RNAcentral lists this ribosomal RNA (207 nucleotides) under uncultured bacterium. RNAcentral's name for it is "partial 16S ribosomal RNA". It matches the Rfam family "Bacterial small subunit ribosomal RNA", at positions 568 to 774 of the family's 1533-position model. The record is from RNAcentral.